RNAcentral lists this ribosomal RNA (642 nucleotides) under Salmonella enterica subsp. enterica serovar Enteritidis. RNAcentral's name for it is "partial 23S ribosomal RNA". It matches the Rfam family "Bacterial large subunit ribosomal RNA", at positions 689 to 1328 of the family's 2925-position model. The record is from RNAcentral. Lineage: Bacteria; Pseudomonadati; Pseudomonadota; Gammaproteobacteria; Enterobacterales; Enterobacteriaceae.
CGGGCGUUAAGUUGCAGGGUAUAGACCCGAAACCCGGUGAUCUAGCCAUGGGCAGGUUGAAGGUUGGGUAACACUAACUGGAGGACCGAACCGACUAAUGUUGAAAAAUUAGCGGAUGACCUGUGGCUGGGGGUGAAAGGCCAAUCAAACCGGGAGAUAGCUGGUUCUCCCCGAAAGCUAUUUAGGUAGCGCCUCGUGAAUUCAUCUCCGGGGGUAGAGCACUGUUUCGGCUAGGGGGCCAUCCCGGCUUACCAACCCGAUGCAAACUGCGAAUACCGGAGAAUGUUAUCACGGGAGACACACGGCGGGUGCUAACGUCCGUCGUGAAGAGGGAAACAACCCAGACCGCCAGCUAAGGUCCCAAAGUCAUGGUUAAGUGGGAAACGAUGUGGGAAGGCCCAGACAGCCAGGAUGUUGGCUUAGAAGCAGCCAUCAUUUAAAGAAAGCGUAAUAGCUCACUGGUCGAGUCGGCCUGCGCGGAAGAUGUAACGGGGCUAAACCAUGCACCGAAGCUGCGGCAGCGACACUGUGUGUUGUUGGGUAGGGGAGCGUUCUGUAAGCCUGUGAAGGUGUGUCGUGAGGCAUGCUGGAGGUAUCAGAAGUGCGAAUGCUGACAUAAGUAACGAUAAAGCGGGUGAAAAG